This 497-nucleotide ribosomal RNA is filed under the name uncultured bacterium. RNAcentral describes it as "partial 16S ribosomal RNA". It matches the Rfam family "Bacterial small subunit ribosomal RNA", at positions 28 to 507 of the family's 1533-position model. The record is from RNAcentral.
GAUGAACGCUGGCGGCGUGCCUAAUACAUGCAAGUCGAGCGAACGGACGAUAAGCGUGCUUCUCUGAUGUUGGCGGCGUACGUGUGAGUAAAGUGUGGAUAACCUACCUUUAGGACUAGGCUAACUUCGUGGAACCGGUACUAAUACCGUGUUAUUGUUGCAACCGGAGGGUUGAAAAGUUAAAGACGUUCUUGCUGUCACUUAUAGCUAUAUCCUGGCUGCAUUAGUUAUUUGGUAACGUAACGGCUUACCGAGGCAACGAUGCAUAGCCGACCGGAGAGGGUGAUCGGCGACACUGGAAGUGAGACACGAUACAGACACCGACGGGCGGCAGCAGUAGGGAAGCGACCGAAAAGGGCGGAAGACUGAAGGAGCAACGCCACGUGAGUGAUGCAGGUCUUCGGAUCGUAUGACUCUGUUAUUAGGGAAGAACAUAUGCGUAAGUAACUGUGCACAUCUUGACGGUACCUAAUCAGAAAGCAACGGCUAACUACGUG